ACUUUAAUUUGUCUCAAGGCUUUUCUUUGUUGCGAUUAUAGAAAAAUCCUGUUUUUCAACUCGUAACGUUGUGAUGAUUUGUUGCGACGUCAUUCGUGACAAGGCAAAAUUCAGUCGCUGUUCAUACCUACAUUCUCUCACAAGGUAAAAGUAAACCAUGAGAAAGUCUGUCGCCAUCCUGUUGAUCGUGGCGCUGACAGUGGCCAUGAUGUCCCACCAGCCUGCAGCUGAGGAUCAGGAUUCUGAUCGCCGUCUUUCUGGAGUGAUGAAAUACCGCCGACGUGUUUGGCCCGGGUUUGAUAAACGCCCAAAGCGGGCUGUGAUGGCUGGUGAUGAACCAUUGAUCGUGAAGGAUCUACUCGAUGGGAUCCCCCAGCGCCCGGGAGGAGAAGACUGAGGAUGCUGUUCAUCCACAGCUGCAAGCACUGGACCAGCUGCCUUCAUGAGACGCCGUGAACACCAAUCCGACUGGUCGUCCAGUAAUGCUUCAUUGCGUGAACAAGCUUAGCUAUUAUGUUAUAGUCCCAGAUAGUACCGGGUGUGCUGCUGUUGUGUUUGAAGAAAUAUAUUAAAGUUUGAUGUUUACAUGCAUAUCAACUUUAAGAAUUAUGUAUGGCUCGCGUAUACGUAUCAGACGUAUAGUGUAUCAUGAUUUUGUACAAAAAUACACAAACUCUCGGUCCAUAAACAUGAGAUCAACUGGCUCAUAUAUAAAGCACAACUUUUACCACUGUUAACUGACUAUCUGAUUAAAAAAACACAUACAGAGGGGGAGACACCAAAGAACAAUUUGUAAUUGAGAAGAUUUCAAAAUCGUUGUUUACAAUACAUUUUAGAAAAAUGCAGACUUUAUCAUUAUAAUUAUCCCUAUUGCUUCUGGUCGAUAUCAAAUAUAUUUAAAUCAUUCUGGCUAUUACAUAACAAUAUGCUAUUACAUAACAAGUUCAAUUAUUAAUGUAGUUGAUGCAAGUAUCUGUCUAUGUCACGUUCAGAAUGACCAAAGUAACUUUUAGAAUUGUAUUGACAACUUCACAUCUAGUUCUAUGAAUGAUACUUUGACGCUUCUGGUUUGAUGUAAGUCACCUGGACCUCUUUGUACUGUUGGAGAGAUCAGCAAACAAGCUUGGUGUGCGUGAA
This is an RNA transcript of Branchiostoma floridae (Florida lancelet), 1137 nucleotides long. RefSeq lists it as uncharacterized. The transcript is spliced from 4 exons. The record is from RefSeq and is a predicted model, not a curated record. NCBI's taxonomy places the organism in Eukaryota, Metazoa, Chordata, Leptocardii, Amphioxiformes, Branchiostomatidae.